This 506-nucleotide ribosomal RNA is filed under the name uncultured bacterium. RNAcentral describes it as "partial 16S ribosomal RNA". It matches the Rfam family "Bacterial small subunit ribosomal RNA", at positions 29 to 523 of the family's 1533-position model. The record is from RNAcentral.
AGUGAACGCUGGCGGUAGGCCUAACACAUGCAAGUCGAACGGCAGCACAGGAGAGCUUGCUCUCUGGGUGGCGAGUGGCGGACGGGUGAGGAAUACAUCGGAAUCUACUCUGUCGUGGGGGAUAACGUAGGGAAACUUACGCUAAUACCGCAUACGACCUACGGGUGAAAGCAGGGGACCUUCGGGCCUUGCGCGAUUGAAUGAGCCGAUGUCGGAUUAGCUAGUUGGCGGGGUAAAGGCCCACCAAGGCGACGAUCCGUAGCUGGUCUGAGAGGACGAUCAGCCACACUGGAACUGAGCAACGGUCCAGACUCCUACGGGAGGCAGCAGUGGGGAAUAUUGGACAAUGGGCGCAAGCCUGAUCCAGCCAUACCGCGUGGGUGAAGAAGGCCUUCGGGUUGUAAAGCCCUUUUGUUGGGAAAGAAAUCCAGCUGGCUAAUACCCGGUUGGGAUGACGGUACCCAAAGAAUAAGCACCGGCUAACUUCGUGCCAGCAGCCGCCGUAA